This 85-nucleotide transfer RNA is filed under the name Felis catus (domestic cat). It matches the Rfam family "tRNA". Rfam says of the family: Transfer RNA (tRNA) molecules are approximately 80 nucleotides in length. Lineage: Eukaryota; Metazoa; Chordata; Mammalia; Carnivora; Felidae. The record is from Rfam by way of RNAcentral.
ACCUGGGUGGCUUAGUCGGUUAAGCGUCUGACUUCAACUCAGGUCGUGAUCUCCCGGUGUGUGGGUUCGAGCCCUGCGUUGGGCU